AACGAACGCUGGCGGCAUGCCUAACACAUGCAAGUCGAACGAGACCUUCGGGUCUAGUGGCGCACGGGUGCGUAACGCGUGGGAACCUGCCCUUAGGUUCGGAAUAACUCCCCGAAAGGGGUGCUAAUACCGGAUAAUGUCUUCGGACCAAAGAUUUAUCGCCUUUGGAUGGGCCCGCGUUGGAUUAGCUAGUUGGUAGGGUAAAAGCCUACCAAGGCGACGAUCCAUAGCUGGUCUGAGAGGAUGAUCAGCCACACUGGGACUGAGACACGGCCCAGACUCCUACGGGAGGCAGCAGUGGGGAAUAUUGGACAAUGGGCGAAAGCCUGAUACAGCAAUGCCGCGUGAGUGAUGAAGGCCGUAGGGUUGUAAAGCUCUUUUACCCGGGAUGAUAAUGGCAGUACCGGGAGAAUAAGCACCGGCUAACUCCGUG
RNAcentral lists this ribosomal RNA (433 nucleotides) under uncultured bacterium. Its description in RNAcentral is "partial 16S ribosomal RNA". It matches the Rfam family "Bacterial small subunit ribosomal RNA", at positions 29 to 507 of the family's 1533-position model. The record is from RNAcentral.